GAUGAAGAACGCAGCGAAAUGCGAUAAGUAAUGUGAAUUGCAGAAUUCAGUGAAUCAUCGAAUCUUUGAACGCACAUUGCGCCCGCCAGUAUUCUGGCGGGCAUGCCUGUUCGAGCAUCAUUUCAACCAUCAAGCCCCCGGCUUGUGUUGGGGACCUGCGGCUGCCGCAGGCCCUGAAAAGCAGUGGCGGGCUCGCUGUCACACCGAGCGUAGUAGCAUACAUCUCGCUCUGGGCGUGCUGCGGGUUCCGGCCGUUAAACCACCUUCAUAACCCAAGGUUGACCUCGGAUCAGGUAGGAAGACCCGCUGAACUUAAGCAUAUCAAUAAGCGGAGGA
This 336-nucleotide unclassified non-coding RNA is filed under the name soil metagenome. Its description in RNAcentral is "partial contains 5.8S ribosomal RNA, internal transcribed spacer 2, and large subunit ribosomal RNA". The stretch from base 1 to 120 matches the Rfam family "5.8S ribosomal RNA", at positions 35 to 154 of the family's 154-position model. The record is from RNAcentral.